RNAcentral lists this long non-coding RNA (515 nucleotides) under Vigna radiata. RNAcentral describes it as "long non-coding RNA (VRAD_LNC005195)". Lineage: Eukaryota; Viridiplantae; Streptophyta; Magnoliopsida; Fabales; Fabaceae. The record is from RNAcentral.
AAAUCGAACAAUAUUUCUCUUCAAAUAAUACAAAUAAUACAAAUAAUAAAUAAAAUAAAUAAUUAUGAAGGAUUAAAGAAAUUAAUACAAAUAAAUAAAGUGCAUGGGAAUAAAAUAGAUGAGUAUGAACGAAAGAGAUGAGAAGAAAAAUGGGUGAAGAAAACGAGAGAAAAAAAUGUAAAGGAAAGAGAGGUACGUGGAUGAAAAAAACGAGUGUAUAGGUAGAAGAUGAAACGAGGGUGAAUUAGAUGAGUGCAUAUGGAAUAUGAGUGUGACGAGAUUUAUAUAGGAAAUUUGAGGACAAAAAUUAUGAGUAAAUUUUGUUACUUUUAAAUUUGGACCUUUAAAUUAAAAAUAAUAUGGGAUUGGAAUAACAUACAUAAAUUCAAAAUAUAUAACUUAGUAUAAGAUAAGUCGGUAUUAGCAUAAAUACAUACAAAUAUUAAAAAGAAUAAAAUUAACGUCUACUAAGUCGAUGAUAAUCUUAUUUAUUUUAAUUUUGUUAUAGUUAACAU